Myotis brandtii (Brandt's bat) is the source of this 77-nucleotide non-coding RNA. NCBI's taxonomy places the organism in Eukaryota, Metazoa, Chordata, Mammalia, Chiroptera, Vespertilionidae. The record is from Rfam.
AGGCCCGAAGAGAGGCAGGGUCUGAUCUGCAGCCUCCAUGGCAGCUAUUGAUCAGCCAUUGCCUCUCUUUCUCUCCA